RNAcentral lists this ribosomal RNA (309 nucleotides) under uncultured bacterium. RNAcentral's name for it is "bacterial SSU rRNA". It matches the Rfam family "Bacterial small subunit ribosomal RNA", at positions 28 to 334 of the family's 1533-position model. The record is from RNAcentral.
GAUGAACGCUAGCGGCAGGCCUAAUACAUGCAAGUCGAGGGGUAACAGGGAAGCUUGCUUCCGCUGACGACCGGCGUACGGGUGAGUAACGCGUAUGCAACCUACCCACUACUGGGGGAUAGCCUGUGGAAACACAGAUUAAUACCCCAUAAUACAUUUGAUCCGCAUGGGUUAAUUGUUAAAGAUUUAUCGGUAGUGGAUGGGCAUGCGUCUGAUUAGCUUGUUGGUGAGGUAAUGGCUCACCAAGGCAAUGAUCAGUAGGGGGCCUGAGAGGGUGAUCCCCCACACUGGCACUGAGACACGGGCCAG